RNAcentral lists this ribosomal RNA (496 nucleotides) under uncultured Desulfobulbus sp. Its description in RNAcentral is "bacterial SSU rRNA". It matches the Rfam family "Bacterial small subunit ribosomal RNA", at positions 892 to 1382 of the family's 1533-position model. The record is from RNAcentral. Lineage: Bacteria; Pseudomonadati; Thermodesulfobacteriota; Desulfobulbia; Desulfobulbales; Desulfobulbaceae.
CUCAGAAACUCAAAUGAAUUGACGGGGGCCCGCACAAGCGGUGGAGUAUGUGGUUUAAUUCGAUGCAACGCGAAGAACCUUACCUGGUCUUGACAUCCCGGAGACCCUUAGGAAACUAGGGGGUGCUUCCAUCUGGAAGAAUCUGGAGACAGGUGCUGCAUGGCUGUCGUCAGCUCGUGUCGUGAGAUGUUGGGUUAAGUCCCGCAACGAGCGCAACCCUUGCCUUUAGUUGCCAGCAGUUCGGCUGGGCACUCUAAAGGGACUGCCGGUGUUAAACCGGAGGAAGGUGGGGAUGACGUCAAGUCCUCAUGGCCUUUAUGACCAGGGCUACACACGUACUACAAUGGCCGAUACAAAGGGCAGCGACACUGCGAGGUGAAGCCAAUCCCGUAAAAUCGGUCUCAGUCCGGAUUGGAGUCUGCAACUCGACUCCAUGAAGUUGGAAUCGCUAGUAAUCGUGGAUCAGCAUGCCACGGUGAAUACGUUCCCGGGCCUU